RNAcentral lists this unclassified non-coding RNA (342 nucleotides) under soil metagenome. RNAcentral describes it as "partial contains 5.8S ribosomal RNA, internal transcribed spacer 2, and large subunit ribosomal RNA". The stretch from base 1 to 120 matches the Rfam family "5.8S ribosomal RNA", at positions 35 to 154 of the family's 154-position model. The record is from RNAcentral.
GAUGAAGAACGUAGCGAAAUGUGAUAAGUAGUGUGAAUUGCAGAAUUCAGUGAAUCAUCGAAUCUUUGAACGCACAUUGCGGCCAUAGGUAUUCCUUUGGCCAUGCCUGUUCGAGCGUCAUUUACACCCUCAAGCCUAGCUUGGUGUUGGGCGCCUGUCCCGCCGUUUUCGCGCGCGGACUCGCCUCAAAGUCAUUGGCGGCGGUCGUGCCGGCCCCCUCGCGCAGCACAUUUGCGCUUCUCGGAGGCCCGGCGGAUCCGCGCUCCAGCAAGACCUUUCACGACUUGACCUCGGAUCAGGGAGGGAUACCCGCUGAACUUAAGCAUAUCAAUAAGCGGAGGA